This 253-nucleotide ribosomal RNA is filed under the name uncultured bacterium. RNAcentral's name for it is "partial 16S ribosomal RNA". It matches the Rfam family "Bacterial small subunit ribosomal RNA", at positions 524 to 776 of the family's 1533-position model. The record is from RNAcentral.
UACGGAGGGGGCUAGCGUUGUUCGGAAUUACUGGGCGUAAAGCGCACGUAGGCGGCUUUGUAAGUUAGAGGUGAAAGCCCGGGGCUCAACUCCGGAACUGCCUUUGAUACUGGCAAUCUUGAGUCCGGAAGAGGUGAGUGGAACUCCUAGUGUAGAGGUGGAAUUCGUAGAUAUUAGGAAGAACACCAGUGGCGAAGGCGGCUCACUGGUCCGGUACUGACGCUGAGGUGCGAAAGCGUGGGGAGCAAACAGG